GUUGAAAUUUUAAAUAGUUAAUCAUUAAAAGGGUCAAUAGAAGGUAACAUUUGAGGAUAUACCCUGAAAGAGGUGAUGGAGUAAGCCCCACUAAUAACUGUGGAAAAAAAGUUCCAAGGAUUAGAAAUAGCAAAUGCAAAGUCUCCGACGUGGGAAUAUUGUAGGUAUAUUUAGGAGUUGUGAGGAGACCACCAUGGUUUGAAUGAUUCAACAGGGGAGAAGUAGGAAUUUGGACUUCAGAAUAAGCCUACAUUAGAAGAAAAAGGUAUCAAGUAUCUGAAUAACCACACUCUGAGACUCAUUUUACUUACUGAAAACUUAAAGAGCGGUUUAUGUCAGUUGAAAGUUGACAAUAUGCAGAGAACUCUGAAGAGAAGUAAGAAGUACCCAGUAUGAUGCUCUGAUGCAUGGAUAACUGGCUUCAUGAAUAAGAUGAAGACGCUGACGGCACCUACCUCAUUGGAUUUUUUUGAGGGGAGAAUUAUUUCAUUAGUUUGUAUUUACUUUUCAACUCCCAUCUCAAAACAAAAGGGGCCAGAUAGACACAGGAGGGGAUCCAGGUUGAAUCCACAGUCAGGAUGAUUUGUUGUAGUAGAAGCUACUUAAAGUUGCUGUUAAAAGAAGAACAAUUUCCCAAAGGAAUUCUAGGAGAUCCCUUCGGAAUGUUAGCAAUUCAAACCCAGCUUAUGAAACACUGAAUUAAAAGGCAUCUGUCUCCUAGCAUUAGCCUUCCUGUUGGUUCACA
Long non-coding RNA from Canis lupus familiaris (dog), 745 nucleotides. RefSeq lists it as uncharacterized. NCBI's taxonomy places the organism in Eukaryota, Metazoa, Chordata, Mammalia, Carnivora, Canidae. The record is from RefSeq and is a predicted model, not a curated record. The transcript is spliced from 5 exons.